GCUGGGCAUGGCGGCACACACCUGUAAUCCAGCUACUUGGAAGGGAGGCUGAGGCAGGAGACUCACAUGGUCAAGGCCAACCUCGGCAGCUUAGUGAGAUCCUGUCUCAA
Molecule: small RNA, 110 nt
Filed under: Marmota monax (woodchuck)
Lineage: Eukaryota; Metazoa; Chordata; Mammalia; Rodentia; Sciuridae
Source: RNAcentral